Ribosomal RNA from Gorilla gorilla gorilla (western lowland gorilla), 94 nucleotides. The record is from Ensembl. Lineage: Eukaryota; Metazoa; Chordata; Mammalia; Primates; Hominidae.
ACAGACAUACCACCCUGAAUGCUCCCUAUCUUGUCUGGUCUUGGAAGCUAAGCAGGGUUGGGCCUGUUACUACUUGGAUGGGACAAACUCUAUU